UCGAGCUUGUGCCAGUGCUUCUGAUACGCUUGGAGUCGACUCGUAAUCUUCCGGAGUCGACUCGAGACUCAGACUUUGGUUCAAAUUGCAUUCCUUACUUAUCCAAAGUGUAUUGAACCAAAGCUAGAGACACUUAACCAUAAAUUUACAAAUAUUUGACUGAAACACUAGAUUGAAUUCAUUAGUAUAACAUAAGAUAUACUCAAAUGCUUUGAGCUCAUCAAAAUCAAAUAGGGUUAUAAUCAAUCACUCCACACUCAGAUUCGGUCCAACUGAAUAUGACGAUCCCGGAGAGGCCUUGACUCGACUGAAACAAACAACAACUGUGGCUGUAUAUCAGGAAGCUUUUGAACG
RNAcentral lists this long non-coding RNA (354 nucleotides) under Phoenix dactylifera (date palm). RNAcentral describes it as "long non-coding RNA (PDAC_LNC011106)". Lineage: Eukaryota; Viridiplantae; Streptophyta; Magnoliopsida; Arecales; Arecaceae. The record is from RNAcentral.